RNAcentral lists this ribosomal RNA (494 nucleotides) under uncultured bacterium. RNAcentral's name for it is "partial 16S ribosomal RNA". It matches the Rfam family "Bacterial small subunit ribosomal RNA", at positions 29 to 507 of the family's 1533-position model. The record is from RNAcentral.
ACGAACGCUUGCGGCGUGCCUAAUCCAUGCAAGUAGAACGCUGAAGGAGGAGCUUGCUUCUCUGGAUGAGUUGCGAACGGGUGAGUAACGCGUAGGUAACCUGCCUGGUAGCGGGGGAUAACUAUUGGAAACGAUAGCUAAUACCGCAUAAGAGUAGAUGUUGCAUGACAUUUGCUUAAAAGGUGCAAUUGCAUCACUACCAGAUGGACCUGCGUUGUAUUAGCUAGUUGGUGGGGUAACGGCUCACCAAGGCGACGAUACAUAGCCGACCUGGGAGGGUGAUCGGCCACACUGGGACUGAGACACGGCCCAGACUCCUACGGGAGGCAGCGAUAGGGAAUCUUCGGCAAGGGGCGGAAGUCUGACCGAGAAAAGCGGCGUGAGUGAAGAGGGUUUUCGGGUCGUAAAGCUCUGUUGUAGGAGAAGAACGAGUGUGAGAGUGGAAAGUUCACACUGUGACGGUAUCUUAUCAGAAAGCGACGGCUAACUACGUG